RNAcentral lists this transfer RNA (80 nucleotides) under Trametes sanguinea. RNAcentral describes it as "tRNA-Gln". It matches the Rfam family "tRNA". From Rfam's summary of the family: Transfer RNA (tRNA) molecules are approximately 80 nucleotides in length. Their secondary structure includes four short double-helical elements and three loops (D, anti-codon, and T loops). The record is from RNAcentral. Lineage: Eukaryota; Fungi; Basidiomycota; Agaricomycetes; Polyporales; Polyporaceae.
GGUGCUAUAGUGUAGUGGUUAUCACUCGGGAUUUUGAUUAACACUUUCCCGAAACCCAGGUUCGAACCCUGGUAGCACCU